This is a long non-coding RNA of Poecilia latipinna (sailfin molly), 490 nucleotides long. RefSeq lists it as uncharacterized. The record is from RefSeq and is a predicted model, not a curated record. NCBI's taxonomy places the organism in Eukaryota, Metazoa, Chordata, Actinopteri, Cyprinodontiformes, Poeciliidae. The transcript is spliced from 2 exons.
UACCCCCUCCCUAACAGGUGCUGUUUUUUGUGUACUUUAUAUAUUCUAAUUUAUUUGGGUAAAUGUAUUGUGAAGUAACUUGAUUUGUUUGCUUGUUUUAAUCAUCUUCUCAUCUCUUUGAGGUCACCUGGUCAUGUGUUGCCAUGGAAGCUCACCCAUGAGCAGUGCUGACAAGGACCUGGUGUUUCCAAUCAGCCUCAUUGGGAAAAUCCAUUUUCUGAGAGGGAGGAGAGAUUUUUUUGUUUCUAGUUUUGUUUGGGUUAAUUGCAAUUGUGUAGACAUUUUUUUAGGAAUAUAGUUUAGUACAAAUGUUUGUUCUUUCUUUCUGGAAAUGUGAAUGUCUCCACCCCUCUAAUCUUUGUGGAAGCCAAUCCUUUAAAAGCCAGGUGGUCCAGAUGAGAGGGAGAUUCUCCCUCUUCUUGUUGUGACUGAUAUGCUAUGCUGUGAACUGAAUUGAAACUGAAGAUAAAAGAAAAAUAUUGAGAGCUCU